RNAcentral lists this ribosomal RNA (524 nucleotides) under uncultured bacterium. Its description in RNAcentral is "partial 16S ribosomal RNA". The stretch from base 15 to 367 matches the Rfam family "Bacterial small subunit ribosomal RNA", at positions 42 to 397 of the family's 1533-position model. The record is from RNAcentral.
AUUGAACGCUGGCGGCAUGCUUUACACAUGCAAGUCGAACGGCAGCGCGGGCUUCGGCCUGGCGGCGAGUGGCGAACGGGUGAGUAAUGCAUCGGAACGUGCCCAGUAGUGGGGGAUAGCCCGGCGAAAGCCGGAUUAAUACCGCAUACGACCUGAGGGUGAAAGCGGGGGACCGAAAGGCCUCGCGCUAUUGGAGCGGCCGAUGUCGGAUUAGCUAGUUGGUGGGGUAAAGGCUUACCAAGGCGACGAUCCGUAGCUGGUCUGAGAGGACGACCAGCCACACUGGGACUGGGACACGGCCCGGAAUGCGACGGGAGGCAGCAGGGGGGAACGUUGGAAAGUGGGGGCCGCCGUGACCCGCCGGUGCGGGGUGGGGUAAGAAGGCCUUGGGGGGGUACACGGCUUGUGUUGGGGAAGCAUUCAUGGGGGCAACUACCGCGGGGGGAUGAGGGAACAGGAAAAAUAAGCACCGGAAAAGCGCGGGCAAGCAGAGCAGGGAAUGAGCGCACAGCACACGCCUGAUG